RNAcentral lists this ribosomal RNA (348 nucleotides) under uncultured fungus. RNAcentral describes it as "eukaryotic LSU rRNA". The record is from RNAcentral. Lineage: Eukaryota; Fungi.
AGAGUUAAACAGUACGUGAAAUUGUUGAAAGGGAAACGCUUGAAGCCAAGCGGGCCGUCUACGUUAAGCUAGCCUCGGCUGGUGUAUUUUAGACGGCUGGCCAACAUCAGUUUGGCUGGCUGGAAAAAGGGCGUGGAAAGGUAGGUGUGCUUCGGCGCACUGUUUAUAGUCCACGUUCAAUACAGCCGGCUGGAUUGAGGACUGCAGCGCGACCCUUUUGGGCAGCAUGCCUGGUUGCUGCGACGCAGGAUUUUGUAGACAGCAUGCUGACUGCAAAAUGCUAACGAAGCACUCAGCUAGAGCAUGACACCCGCGCUUUGGAUGUUGGUGAAAGGGCUUUAAACGACC